CUUUAUUUAACCAGGUAGGCUAGUUGAGAACACCUUUAUUUAACCAGGUAGGCUAGUUGAGAACACCUUUAUUUAACCAGGUAGGCUAGUUGAGAACACCUUUAUUUAACCAGGUAGGCUAGUUGAGAACACCUUUAUUUAACCAGGUAGGCUAGUUGAGAACAAACGUUCUCAUUUACAACUGCGACCUGGUCAAGAUAAAGCAAAAGCAGUGUGACAAAAACAACGACACAGAGUUACACAUGGAAUAAAACAAACGUACAGUCAAUAACACCAUAGAAAAAUCUACCCUGCAGUACUCUCCCAGUCAGGUUUGUGGUGCUGCCGGGGAGCGUCAUCACACC
This is a long non-coding RNA of Oncorhynchus tshawytscha (Chinook salmon), 344 nucleotides long. The record is from Ensembl. NCBI's taxonomy places the organism in Eukaryota, Metazoa, Chordata, Actinopteri, Salmoniformes, Salmonidae.